UACGAAGGGAGCUAGCGUUGUUCGGAAUUACUGGGCGUAAAGGGCGCGUAGGUGGUAGUGAAAGUUAGAUGUGAAAGCCCCGGGCUUAACCUGGGAACUGCAUUUAAGACUUCACAACUAGAGUCCGAGAGGGGAAUGUGGAAUUGCAAGUGUAGAGGUGAAAUUCGUAGAUAUUUGCAGGAACACCAAUGGCGAAGGCAGCAUUCUGGCUCGGUACUGACACUAAGGCGCGAAAGCGUGGGGAGCAAACAGG
This 253-nucleotide ribosomal RNA is filed under the name uncultured bacterium. RNAcentral's name for it is "partial 16S ribosomal RNA". It matches the Rfam family "Bacterial small subunit ribosomal RNA", at positions 524 to 776 of the family's 1533-position model. The record is from RNAcentral.